This 444-nucleotide ribosomal RNA is filed under the name Globigerina bulloides. RNAcentral's name for it is "partial 18S ribosomal RNA". It matches the Rfam family "Eukaryotic small subunit ribosomal RNA", at positions 1196 to 1460 of the family's 1831-position model. Lineage: Eukaryota; Foraminifera; Rotaliida; Globigerinidae. The record is from RNAcentral.
UGACUCAACGCGGAAAAGCUUAUCUGGUCCGGACGCAGUGAGGAUUGACAGACAGUUUCAGGAGUGGUUCUUGGUAAACAAUUGAGAGAGUUGAAGUUCUUUCAUGAUCUUGUGAGAGGUGGUGCAUGGCCGUUCUUAGUUCGUGUAGUGAUAUGUCUGCCUAAUCGCGUCACGAUAACCUAUUGGUCGACAACCCAAUUAUCACAACUGCAGCAUAACUCCCCUUGGGUGGGCGAGGCUCUGUGUAGGAUAGACCUCUGAACAGUACGCAACGAACGCGAUCGUAAUCCCUUGUUGAGUGGCCAUCCUGUAAGCUGCUGGAUUAGGAACCCAGUGGUAUUAUCUCAGCCACAGAUUUUCUGGUUGUAAUGGGCCAGUUUUGAAACUCGGGGAACAUCUGUGACUUUCUUUCUUAACGCAGAGGAAGGUUAUGGCAAUAACAGG